Molecule: ribosomal RNA, 254 nt
Filed under: uncultured bacterium
Lineage: Bacteria
Description: partial 16S ribosomal RNA
Rfam family: Bacterial small subunit ribosomal RNA
Source: RNAcentral
GACGAACCGUGCGAACGUUAUUCGGAAUCACUGGGCUUAAAGCGCGUGUAGGCGGCCCGGCACGUCAUUGGCUGAAAUCCCCCGGCUCAACCGGGGAAGUGGCCGUGAUACGACCGGGCUGGAGGGGGGUAGGGGGGACGGGAACUCACGGUGGAGCGGUGAAAUGCGUUGAGAUCGUGAGGAACGCCCGCGGCGAAAGCGCGUCCCUGGACCCCACCUGACGCUGAGACGCGAAAGCCAGGGGAGCGAACGGG